This 992-nucleotide long non-coding RNA is filed under the name Gallus gallus (chicken). The record is from RNAcentral. Lineage: Eukaryota; Metazoa; Chordata; Aves; Galliformes; Phasianidae.
GGAGCAACGAGAGGCUUUAUUGUCAGCUCGGAGCGAUGGGAGGGUGCCGGGCUGGGGGCUGGGGAAACAACAGGGCUCGCAACCGCCCCCCCCCGGGGCAAAGCGUUUCGUAAAAUCGGAGCUUAAAAACACCGUUAUUUUACAGACAGAACCCCAAAUCCAGGUCCCCAUUGUACUGAAGAAACCGCUGCAGCGAACGUGAUCCCUUAUCCCGGUGGUGGCAGAGAGGAGGAAGCACCGCCCGACGGGGAGGCAGCGCUCAGCCCACGGAGGCCAUGAUCACAUCCACCGGGAGCUCCUCCGCGCUGCGGGCCGUGACCUGCAUCGUCACCGUGUCGGUCAGCAGCAGGCGAGCCCGCAGCAGCACGUCGUGGCCGCCCCGGAACACACCUGCCAGGUACAGAGUGUGGGAGUUCUUGUUGUCUGGCACUUUAUCCGAUCGCUCGCAGGGCUGCAUCCCCAGGAACUUCACGAUAUUGCUAACCGCCUCUUCAAGGGUUUUAAUUGCAGAUAAAGUAAAGGUUUCUUCCUUCUCGUACUCAUCACCCACUUCAUCCCAGGCAGCUCCAAAGUUGGGCUUCAGAACUCGCUGGAUGUGAUCAGCCACUGUUACCUCAAGAUCUUCAAGCACAUAUUCAUCCUCGUAACCCUCGUCGUCUGUCUCACCCGUGUUUGGAUCACAGUCCUUGACAGUAAAUUUCAUCAUGCAGCUGAACGUGCAGGCCACUGCAGGCAGGGGAGGCAAAGGCAAAGCUCACGUUACCACCAGAUCCACUCCUCUGCAGGAGAAUGGGGCUAGGAAACUUGGGGCAGGUGGGUUCUCCCCCUCCCAGUCAGCAGCACAGGCUGAGCACGUGACCUAGAAAGCGUGCUGACAGCUCCUCUCUCUCAAGGACAAAGUACUUAUUUGUAACACUAAGGCCAGCAAUCAGUGAUAAAUGCAGACUCCCAACGGUUGCACCGUAAUCUUCAGAUCAAGUCCUGCUACUGAC